CAUAAUCAGUAGUCUUUUAAUUGAAGGCUUGUAUGAAUGGUUGGACGAAAUAUUAACUGUUUCAUUUAAAAUUUUUAUAGAAUUUUAUUUUUUAGUCAAAAAGCUAAAAUAAUAUUAAAAGACGAGAAGACCCUAUAAAUCUUGAUAUUUGCAGUAAUUUUAAUUAUAAAGAUUAAUUAAAUUAUAAUUUUUGUAAAUAUUUUAUUGGGGUGAUAAUAAAAUUUGUAAAACUUUUAAUUUAUAAAAACCAUUAAUUUAUGAAUAAUUGAUCCAUUAAUAAUGAUUAAAAAUUUAAGUUACUUUAGGGAUAACAGCGUAAUUUUUUUGGAGAGUUCAUAUUGAUAAAAAAGAUUGCGACCUCGAUGUUGGAUUAA
This 374-nucleotide ribosomal RNA is filed under the name Kesselimyia chandleri. Its description in RNAcentral is "partial 16S ribosomal RNA". The record is from RNAcentral. Lineage: Eukaryota; Metazoa; Arthropoda; Insecta; Diptera; Platypezidae.